This 1433-nucleotide ribosomal RNA is filed under the name uncultured soil bacterium. RNAcentral describes it as "bacterial SSU rRNA". It matches the Rfam family "Bacterial small subunit ribosomal RNA". The record is from RNAcentral.
GAUAAACGCUGGCGGCGUGCCUAAUGCAUGCAAGUCGAACGGGAGCGCCUUCGGGCGUCGACCGUGGCGGACGGGUGAGGAACACGUGGCUAACCUGCCCGGAUCUGGGGGAUACCCGCCGGAAACGGCGACUAAUACCGCAUGAGCUCGCUCUGGGGGACUGGGGCGAGGAAAGGUCUUUGGACCGGGUCUGGAGGGGGCUGCGGCCGAUUAGCUAGCUGGUGGGGUAACGGCCUACCAGGGCGGUGAUCGGUAGCUGGUCUGAGAGGACGGCCAGCCACACGGGGACUGAGACACGGCCCCGACUCCUACGGGAGGCAGCAGCAAGGAAUUUUCUGCAAUGGGCGCAAGCCCGACAGAGCAACGCCGCGUGGGGGAUGACGCGCUUCGGCGUGUAAACCCCUUUUCCCUGGGACGAAGCAAGUGACGGUACCAGGGGAAGAAGGACCGGCUAACUACGUGCCAGCAGCCGCGGUAACACGUAGGGUCCGAGCGUUGUCCGGAAUUACUGGGCGUAAAGCGCGCGCAGGCGGUCCGGUCAGUCGAUGGUGAAAGCCCCACGCUCAACGUGGGAAGGUCCGUCGAGACGGCCGGACUGGAGGCAGGGAGAGGCCGGUGGAAUUCCGGGUGUAGUGGUGAAAUGCGUAGAGAUCCGGAGGAACACCAGAGGCGAAGGCGGCCGGCUGGACCUGACCUGACGCUGAGGCGCGAAGGCGUGGGGAGCGAACGGGAUUAGAUACCCCGGUAGUCCACGCGGUAAACGAUGUGCACUGGGUAUGGCGGGAGUCGACCCCUGCCGUGCCGGCGCUAACGCAGUAAGUGCACCGCCUGGGGAGUACGGCCGCAAGGCUAAAACUCAAAGGAAUUGACGGGGCCCCGCACAAGCAGCGGAGCGUGUGGUUUAAUUCGACGCAACGCGCAAAACCUUACCAGGGUUUGACGUCUCCGGAACCUGGCUGAAAGGCUGGGGUGCCCGCAAGGGAGCCGGAAGGCAGGUGUUGCAUGGCUGUCGUCAGCUCGUGUCGUGAGAUGUUGGGUUAAGUCCCGCAACGAGCGCAACCCCUGUCGCCAGUUACGAGGGUGUCUGGCGAGACUGCCGGAAGCAAACCGGAGGAAGGUGGGGAUGAUGUCAAGUCAGCAUGACCCUGACACCCUGGGCGACACACACGCUACAAUGGCCGGGACAGAGGGCAGCCAAGCGGUAACGCGGAGCCAAUCCCACAAACCCGGCCUCAGUUCAGAUCGUGGGCUGCAACUCGCCCACGUGAAGGCGGAGUUGCUAGUAACCGCCGGUCAGCAUUACGGCGGUGAAUAUGUUCCCGGGGCUUGUACACACCGCCCGUCACGUCAUGGGAGCCGGCAACACCUGAAGUCGGUGGGCUAACCCGUCAGGGAAGCAGCCGCCGAGGGUGGGGUUGGUGACUGGGACGAAG